GGCUUAUCCAAAGGUAGUGAGUUAUCUCAAUAGAAUGGUUUACAGUCAGUUACAGAUUAAACUCCUGGAUCUACUCUUUCCCACUUCUCACUACUGAACUUGACUAGUCUUAA
Molecule: Y RNA, 113 nt
Filed under: Cebus imitator (Panamanian white-faced capuchin)
Lineage: Eukaryota; Metazoa; Chordata; Mammalia; Primates; Cebidae
Description: Y RNA (ENSCCAG00000012754.1)
Rfam family: Y RNA
About the family: Y RNAs are components of the Ro ribonucleoprotein particle (Ro RNP), in association with Ro60 and La proteins.
Source: Rfam by way of RNAcentral